CAGUCGCCGCGGGAAUACGUAGGGUGCAAGCGUUAAUCGGAAUUACUGGGCGUAAAGCGUGCGCAGGCGGUUAUAUAAGACAGAUGUGAAAUCCCCGGGCUCAACCUGGGAACUGCAUUUGUGACUGUAUAGCUAGAGUACGGCAGAGGGGGAUGGAAUUCCGCGUGUAGCAGUGAAAUGCGUAGAUAUGCGGAGGAACACCGAUGGCGAAGGCAAUCCCCUGGGCCUGUACUGACGCUCAUGCACGAAAGCGUGGGGAGCAAACAGGAUUAGAUACCCCGGUAGUCCCUGUCUCUUAUAU
This 301-nucleotide ribosomal RNA is filed under the name uncultured bacterium. Its description in RNAcentral is "partial 16S ribosomal RNA". It matches the Rfam family "Bacterial small subunit ribosomal RNA", at positions 509 to 809 of the family's 1533-position model. The record is from RNAcentral.